Long non-coding RNA from Xyrauchen texanus (razorback sucker), 1325 nucleotides. RefSeq lists it as uncharacterized. The transcript is spliced from 2 exons. NCBI's taxonomy places the organism in Eukaryota, Metazoa, Chordata, Actinopteri, Cypriniformes, Catostomidae. The record is from RefSeq and is a predicted model, not a curated record.
GUACGGUUAAUAUAUAUUAAUACACGUAAGUUACUUACCUCAAAUUUAACUUUAUUUCCACUGGUUUCGCGAAGAAAGUGGUGUAAUGGACCUGCGACGUACUAUGAAAGCUAAAAUCCACUAAAAUAUGAUAACUAAUGUAACGUUACCUAUGAUAUGAACGCGAAUACGAUAUGAAAAAUCAAACAAAUAAGUAACUUAUAGCUAUAAACCUCGUAUAAACUAACUAAUCCUAUUCACAAACACGUAUGAACAGCAUAUAUAUACACACAACUUAACUAACGUCAAUUAAGCUACGAAAACUACCUAUCUAAUUAUCAAACUGUACACUAUAACUAAUAUAAAUACUAUAUAUGAUAACUAUAACUUAACCUAUGAUGAAAUCUAAAUGAAUCAACUAACUUAUCUAACAAUUAACUACAAAAUACACGCAAUUUAUGAAAAAAUACGAAAAUCAAUAGGAGCUCGUCUAUAUCCACCACUGUCUUUCACCAACAAACGUUAAUUCCGUUAUGUCAGUUAUAAGUAUCUCUCGCGAGGUGCAUUCAAAUUUGUGUAUUCAAAUGUAUUUUAUCCCCUCUCUUAGUCAAAGCUAUAGGUCAGGACAUAGCUUUUGGUUUGGCUGAAUUUUAAUUGUGACAAUUCAUCAGUGCUAGUGUUUUUUUUUUUUUUCUUCUUCUUCUUCUUUCCCUAUUAAAGGGAAGUUUGUUGCUUUUUAUUCCAGACUCAACCUUUUUGUAAACCCACAGAUGACUAUUGUAAUAAUAAUGGAGGAUUGUGGUACAAGAGAGCAUUUACACUUAACCUAACAAUUAAUGCCUAUUAAUCUAAUUUGUUUCUGUGUUCCAGUCCCUGGUGUCAUAGUUUACUUCCUGGAGGAGGAUGCUUUAGCAAUUUCAGCAUUGGACUUGUUCCCAUCCUUUUUGGUCGCCUCUCCUGCACUUGCUGUUUGGAAGUCAUUGCUUGCAUCUGAUUCAGGACCUGUCAUUCUGCAUUUCUGUUUUCAUUCGCUUUGCUUACAUUUUGAACCCUUAGCAAUAAUAAACGUUUUCUAUUUGGGCUAUAGUUGUACAUUCAAGUUUGUUUUUUCUUAAUUGAAUGUGUUUGUGUGGAUAUGCAACAAUUAUUUAUUUUAUAGUACUUCAUUGAUGGAAAUUUGCAAAGAUUCUGAAUUAAAAAAAACACAUUAACAUUGUUCUUAAUUUUUAUUGUCAUUGUUUUAAUCAGUUAAUCUAUAACUGCACAAUGGUGGUGCACUAUUGCCUGAUUUUGUGUGCAUUGUGAUUUAGAUUAUGCAACACAUUAAAUUGACCCUAAUUAAGUCA